AGCGAACGCUGGCGGCAGGCUUAACACAUGCAAGUCGAGCGCCCCGCCAGGGGAGCGGCAGACGGGAGAGUAACCCGUGGGAACAUACCUUUUGGUUCGGAACAACUGAGGGAAACUUCAGCUAAUACCGGAUAAGCCCUUACGGGGAAAGAUUUAUCGCCGAAAGAUUGGCCCGCGUCUGAUUAGCUAGUUGGUGAGGUAACGGCUCACCAAGGCGACGAUCAGUAGCUGGUCUGAGAGGAUGAUCAGCCUCACUGGGACUGAGCCACGGCACAGACUCCUACGGGAGGAAGCAGUGGGGAAUAUUGGACAAUGGGGGCAACACGGAGCAAGCCAUGCCGCGUGAGUGAUGAAGGCCUUAGGGUUGUAAAGCUCUUUUGCCAGGGAAGAUAAUGAAGGUAACGGGAGAAUAAGCCCCGGCUAACUUCGUG
This 431-nucleotide ribosomal RNA is filed under the name uncultured bacterium. Its description in RNAcentral is "partial 16S ribosomal RNA". It matches the Rfam family "Bacterial small subunit ribosomal RNA", at positions 29 to 507 of the family's 1533-position model. The record is from RNAcentral.